Molecule: non-coding RNA, 1494 nt
Organism: Aegilops tauschii subsp. strangulata
Lineage: Eukaryota; Viridiplantae; Streptophyta; Magnoliopsida; Poales; Poaceae
Source: RefSeq, a predicted model, not a curated record
GCGUGCGUGCUGAAUACGUUCUCCACUGUCAAGGAUUUAUUUAUUGUCUUGUUAACUUCUAGCUACCUGCUGCUUGCGUUGCAUUGCAUUGCAUUGUGUGUCAAGUGAUUAAUCAGCGUGCGUGCUGAAUAUGUUCUUCACUGUCUAGGAUUUAUGCUGUGUUUUUUUACUUGUAAUAAAUACUGUUAAAGUAGCCAGCCACUAGGAUCUGAAGCGCUCAAGACCUGUGACAGUUUUGCUUGAUUUUCCUCUUCAUACUAGCUAGUUUCUGAAAGGAUCUUGAUUCAAAUACAUUACAAUCUGCUCAUUUUUUUAUCUCCAAGCAGAGGCUCUAGUAAUGAACUUGCUCUAGUAAUGUAAUAGGCGUGGGACUGUUCUGCAAACUAGCAUGUGUAGUGCAACACAUUAUUCAGUCACCACUUCUUUCCUGCACAUUAGUAGGGUAGCUGCAUAAUCUGUCUAUUUCUCUUUCAUUUAUGUAAAUAGUUGACAUGAUGCCAUAUUGCAGUAUUGCAAGUUAGGAGAAACAAGUUACAAAAAUUGAUUUCUCCACCUGCUGCUUCCAUUCUUAUUAAUCAGUGUGCCAAUAAUGGCAUCUGUUUUGAGGCGACUCCAUCCUGUUCGUGAUAGUAAUUUGUUUAAAACCGCAAGGCAGCUUUGCUUUCUGCAGUAUCUCCUGCCUUGUUUUGUUCUGUCGACUGAGGCCUGAGGCAGAGCAAAGGCUUGCCGAUUAUUGCUUACAACGCCAAGUUGCAAUUAGCUGGGAUGUGUAGCGUGGCUAGCUUGUGUUGAUUGGUUUUGAGAUAUAAUUGGAAACUGAUUGUGUGUCAGUACAACAAGCGUGAUGAUUUUUUUUGAAUAGCAAACAUGCUGAUGGAAGUGUCCUUCCAUACGUGAUUCUAACUUGCACUUCUCGGUCAGAGGCAUCUCCAGUACGUGACACAGUUUGGAUGUGCAAACGAAUAUGUGCGUGUUUCACAUAUUACGUGAGAAAAUUUUGUUAGUUCUCGGCCAUUAUAAUUAGGAUCCACAGCUUGUUUGCCUCGCUUUGGUAGGCUGUUUGGGAACAUAUGUCAUAGAUAGGCGUAGUUUUCUUUUUUUUACAGGUACAUUGCCGUGUAGGAAUUGGACUCAACUCAUUGCUUUGCAUGGCAGUCUAGAAAUCAUAUGGGAUUCUGAACAUGCAAGCAAAUAUGCAGGAGUAAACAAGUUCUUGCAGUAGAUAUUGUAAGUGUUUGUUCUGAACAUGUACUGUCACCGAAGAUAUUGCAAGUGGUCUGACAAGAUUUUCUCAAUUUGCAAGUUUAGUUACUUUUCCAGUUAAUUAACUGGACAUCUUGGAGUAGUUAGAAAAUCAUGAAUUAUUUGCAGAAAUUCGUAGAAGUAUUGUACUCCAGUGUGCAUUACUUACAUAAACUUGCUUGCAAGCUUAUUUUCUGACUUUCAUAUUCUGAAACUGAAAAAGCUUAGUUAAAUUCUAUUAAGUUUCAGUAA